AAUUCCUCCUCUUGUCAACAAAUCCUCUUAGCAUCACAUAAUCAUCUUUUCAUGAAAAAGUAGCUAGGGGAACAUUGCUAGCAAUUUCUACACGCUCUAGGACUCAAAUUACUAGUGAAGCUAGCAGUUGAACAGAGGAAAUUAGAAGUGUGUAGACAUUGGACUGUCAAAUACAUCUCUACCUCAGAUUUACCAUUAUUUUUCUUUGAGAUGUCUAUGUAUCCAAGGAGACGUUAGAAUCAUAUAUUCUUAAGGUGACAGUAUAAUAUGCUCUUCCUAUUCAGUGCAUUCAGUUUGGCUGAGGUUAAAAGCAAUAGCCUAAACAUCAAAAACAUGUCAUCUUCAAAUUAAUAAGAUUGAUAGCCCACUUAUGUUUUUAUUAUUUAUACAUAAGGCAAAACAUUCAAGUAUAUCACUUAAAGAGAAGUAUUCCCAAAUAUCUUUUAUAAUUUGAAUUCACAUUAACAAUUAUCCUGAAGACACUAAAAUUCCUUUAAAUGAGAUUUAAAUAACCUCAUGAGAAAAAUAUGCAAGUAUUUCUGCAUCUCCGACUGGAUAUCACUUUUCUAAUCAAUUUCAGUCUCAUUUUGUUCUCCUGAAUCCUGAGUUCCUACAAGAGUUCCCUAGCUCAGUUUCAUUUGGCUCAUUCUUUAAACUUCUCUGAUGAAAAUAUAAAAACUGCUUUCCUCAGGC
This 693-nucleotide long non-coding RNA is filed under the name Bos taurus (domestic cattle). Its description in RNAcentral is "long non-coding RNA NONBTAT001047". The record is from RNAcentral. Lineage: Eukaryota; Metazoa; Chordata; Mammalia; Artiodactyla; Bovidae.